Molecule: ribosomal RNA, 497 nt
Filed under: uncultured bacterium
Lineage: Bacteria
Description: partial 16S ribosomal RNA
Rfam family: Bacterial small subunit ribosomal RNA
Source: RNAcentral
GAUGAACGCUGGCGGCGUGCCUAAUACAUGCAAGUCGAGCGAACGGACGAGAAGCUUGCUUCUCUGAUGUUAGCGGCGGACGGGUGAGUAACAUGUAUAUAACCUACCUAUCAGACUGGGAUAACUUCGGGAAACCGGAGCUAAUACCGGAUGAUCUUUUGAACCGCAUGGUUCAAAGGUGAAAGACGGUCUUGCUGUCACUUAUCGCUGGAUCUGCGCUGCAUUAGCUAGUUGGUAAGGUAACGGCUUACCAAGGCAACUAUGCGUAGCCGACGUGAGAGAGGGGUAGCCCGCACUGGAACUUGACCACGCUCCUGACUCCUGCGGUAGGCAGCAGUAUGGAAUCGGCCGCAAUGGGCGGAAGCCUUACGGAGCGAGCCCACGUGUGAGAUGAAGGCGUUCGGUUCGUAAAACUCUGCUAUUGGGUAUAAACAGAUGUGUACGUAACUGUGCACAGCGUGACGGUACCUAAUCAGAAAGCCACGGCUAACUACGUG